UGAAAUGUAAAUGGAAAUAAAUGAUAAAGUUACUGAAACUUAAAUUGCAUUAAGUAAAUGACUUAAAAGUAAAGCAACAUUAAUAUAAAGUUAGUCAAAUGUUAGUGAAGUGUUUUAAUUGAUUAAGUCAUUCUUUGGAGAACACUCAACCAUUCAUUCACAAGUAUGAAUCCAUGAACCAGGACAUCAUCAAUGGGAAUGGCUCUAACUUGGAUAAAUCAACAUGUAUGCCACUAGCUCUCAUGAAUGGAAA
RNAcentral lists this long non-coding RNA (253 nucleotides) under Lathyrus oleraceus (garden pea). RNAcentral describes it as "Pisum sativum (pea) long non-coding RNA (PSAT_LNC030566)". The record is from RNAcentral. Lineage: Eukaryota; Viridiplantae; Streptophyta; Magnoliopsida; Fabales; Fabaceae.